CGAUUAUUGAUGGGAAGAUAUUAUUUAACUAUCCAAAAUAUUAUUUAAUUAUUUUCAGAAUUAUUUUCUUUCAAUGUUUAUUCAAAUAGAACUUAAACCCAUCUCAGAAUUUUUAAAUGCUUGAUGACGUCACAUUUAAAACGUGGCAACAUUGGUUUCCCCACUUUGACAGCCAAUGCUUAGUAGAGGGGUACGAAGGAUUCAGCUGUGAACGUGAGCCUUGGAUUGCCAUUGUUUCUCGAGUGUUCGGUCUGAAUCGUAGUGUGCGGGGUCAUUAGACUCAAUUAUUCACCUCUAAUUCUCAGUUCCAAAUUGAUUAAAUAUUACAAUAAAAGUAUAGUGAAGUUAUCCAGCAGCAGUGGAUUUGAAGAAUUUUAGAGCAUACUAUAUCCAAUGAGUUCUACCCCGCACCUACCAUGAAAUCUUAAAGCCACCCUACAACAACACCAAGGCCAGACCACACAGAGAGAAACAAUCAAUAGGCGACCAGCCUGGAUUAUUUCCACAUUUUUUUUUUGAGUACCUCCAGCUGCUUUCCAACAGUUUUGAGUACCUUCAGCUGCUUUCUACCAGUCUUCCUCUCCUGUACCUCCAGCAGGACAGCUGCUAGCGAGAGUUAGCACCCUUGGGUGCUCAUUACAUCAACUUCAAGAUUAGGAAAGAGUGGUUUGUUUGGGAACAUUUACUGUGCUCUUAUUAAAGACAGACUGGUUUUGUGAUAUUUAGUACAUUUUUUUUUUAUAGUUCAAUUGCACACACAUUUUUCCUGCUUUAUAUUUUUUAUAGGUUUUUUUUUCUUUACAACAUAAUAUUUAAUUGAUAGCGUUCCCCAACACUCUGCAAUCUAUAAAGGUAUAAAUUUCUGAGCUCAGAUAUUUUCCCUGAUAAUAGUAGUCGGUACUCUUAUCUUGAUUAUUUUUAGGCUGUGUUCCACUUUUGUAUAAUUAUUUAAACUCAUUCCAUUAUUUUAGUAUAUGUUUAAUUAAAUUUUUAAAAAUUAACUUCACAUAUUAGUCAAAAAUUGUAAUUAUUAACUUUAUUUAACUUGAACUUAUUAACUUUACUUAACUUUAACUUAUUAACUUUAUUUAACUUUAACUUUAAUUUAUUAAAUUCAUAUGAACUUCUGGAUUCUAAUCCCUCAGAUUAGUUUUUGGUUUCACUUGUUAUUAUUACUAUUAUAAACCACGAGUUAGGAAAAGGAUCUGUGUAUCCACUCGUAGGUUUAUUUAUUCAAUAAGGCUUGUGCCUGUCCCACUCACAGUGAGGUAUUUAUAUGUUAUAUAUAGUAUCAGGUAGUAUUUAAUUAAGGUGUACGUAUUAUAAACGUACAAUUAUUAUUUGGUGAGGGUUCUACUAACCUAGUUGUAAGUUGUACUUCCUGUAUUAGAGGUACCCGUAGUCAGUUUUUCUAACCUUAUAAAGAGUAUUCUUAGAUCAUAGUUGUAUGAUGAUUUUGUAAUUGACUUUCACUAGUAUCACUUUUUCCUGUCAUGUUAGAGUUACACACUAGUUACUUGUCCUAACUCAGAGAUUGUUAAAAAGAUCUAGUAGUUACAUUCAAUAAAUAUACAUUUAUUGUGAUUUUUUUUUUCUUAUUACUCCUUUAUUUUUAGUAGUAUAUUUUAUAAUUUAAUAAUCUUUAAUAACUUUUCACAUACUUGUACUACAAAUUUAACAUACUCUAUAGCAGCGUAGAAUACCUGGAAGAGCGUUAACCUAGUUAUCCUUCUUCUGGCGCCCAAAAAUUCAUUCUAUUUUCAGUAUAUUAUUAUAUUUACUCUAUCUAUUUUCUGAACAUUAUCUUCAUAUCUUCUUUUCGAGCCAUCAUUGUCACUUCCUUUAAUCUAUUGUCUGGCCAAAAAUAGCCGUGCAAAUUGGCCGAAUCCUUCCUUGAGUGUCAAGUGGCCCUUCUCAUACAUAUUUAGCUAGCCAUUCAAGUUAUAUCUAUCUAUUAAUGAUUUCUCAUCUCUAGUCCUGUAUCAAUUCGAUAUUCUUUGUCUUGGCAUCCUUCCAUACAAAUACUACUACAAAGUUGUAUUUUAGUUACUCCAGCUUCUUCAACGGAGAAGCCACACAUUUUUGUCCUUUGGCUACAUUAAGUAGAUCUUCUUCUUUUUACUACUUCUGUUGGAGUUUACCACUCCCUUUUCAUUCACUCCAACAGAAAAUCAUCAGCUAGUUGUU
Molecule: unclassified non-coding RNA, 2187 nt
Filed under: Diabrotica virgifera virgifera (western corn rootworm)
Lineage: Eukaryota; Metazoa; Arthropoda; Insecta; Coleoptera; Chrysomelidae
Description: uncharacterized LOC126879630
Source: RNAcentral